CAGUCGCCACGGUAAAACAGAGGGUGCGAGCGUUAAUCGGAUUUACUGGGCGUAAAGCGUGCGUAGGCGGCUUUUUAAGUCGGAUGUGAAAUCCCUGAGCUUAACUUAGGAAUUGCAUUCGAUACUGGGAAGCUAGAGUAUGGGAGAGGAUGGUAGAAUUCCAGGUGUAGCGGUGAAAUGCGUAGAGAUCUGGAGGAAUACCGAUGGCGAAGGCAGCCAUCUGGCCUAAUACUGACGCUGAGGUACGAAAGCAUGGGGAGCAAACAGGAUUAGAUACCCGUGUAGUCCCUGUCUCUUAUAC
Molecule: ribosomal RNA, 301 nt
Filed under: uncultured bacterium
Lineage: Bacteria
Description: partial 16S ribosomal RNA
Rfam family: Bacterial small subunit ribosomal RNA
Source: RNAcentral